This 288-nucleotide long non-coding RNA is filed under the name Carica papaya (papaya). RNAcentral describes it as "long non-coding RNA (CPAP_LNC005377)". The record is from RNAcentral. Lineage: Eukaryota; Viridiplantae; Streptophyta; Magnoliopsida; Brassicales; Caricaceae.
UUUUGUUAGAUAGGCGUAGUAGGUGCUAGUUUGCGGGUUGAAGCUGAGGGUCUGUGACUCCCUGAUGACUGGGAAAGGGUGUUGAAACUCCUCUCCACGAUCUGCGCCUUUACCAGAAUAGCUGAGUAUGUCUUGAGCUCUAGUACCAACAAGUGCCGCUUGAUCUCUGGGCAGAGGCCCCACUGGAACCUCCUGGCCUUUCUGCCCUCAUCCAUCAAUGUCUCAGGGGAGUAUCGGCCCAACUCUAGGAACUUACGAGCAUAUUCCGACACUGUCAUGUUUCCCUGG